ACAAGACUGGGAUUAAACUGAAAAAACUUUGAGGACAUGGAUUUGCUUGUGCUGGUCUCAGUGAUAGGAUCAGAGAAAGAUGUGAUAUAUCAAGGGUACUACAAAGUAUUGGCAUUUCUUGGGAAAGCAGUUUCAGUGCUGCCAUGAUAAACUGCUUAAACCAGUCAGGAUAUGUCAGGCAUGAAGCUGGAGUUCAGUUCAUAAUUGCAAUUUUUGCAGCAUUUUCAAACAAAUCAGAGUCAAUGUCCAUGAAUAAAGACUCCUUUAUGGAGAAGCUGGAGAAGAUGAAACCAUUUCAGGUGAUCAAGGAAUGGGAAGGAAUCUCCAGUUAAACAUCAUCUCCUUUAACAGCCUUGCUGUACUACAGCACCUCUGAGAAGAGCAGCAGCAAAGGCAAAAGGCAAAGCUGAGGCACCUCCCCCUGCCAGAACCAGGGCCCCAAAAAUGCCCCUCAGGGAUCAGCACUUGGGGAUUCUCUCCUAAAAGCUCCUGGUUGCCAUCCAGGUGAUUUCUCCAGAGAACCUGGUGCCCAGCAGGAGUUCACAUGUGGGAUGGCACUGGGAGGAUGUGAGGCUUGCUGAGCCCCAGAGGUCAUUGUCCACUCCCGUUGUGUGACAUGGGGGCUGCUGGUGCUAGGGCACCUCUGAGCCAUCCAAAGGGACAGGUGCUGAAAGGAACAUGUCCUGUUCUGUGACCUCCCAGACAAAGGGGCAGGGUUUGGGAAGGGGACGGGGAACUCAACAACUGAAAGUCUGGCUGUGCAGGUGGUGCUGAAGGUUUGGGAUCUGAGGAUCUACCCUGGAGCAGCUGGAUCUGCUGGGAGUUGAUAGCAUCCACCUGACCUCAUACCACGGGCCAAACCAGGGGGCCCUGCCAGGUAUUCCAGAGGGGCUGUGGGAGCUCUGGCUGGGCAGGACCAAGCGAGAGGCACCUCAGCUUAGGAGACACUGACAUCCCAAUGCCCUCACAGUAACUGAUAGAGACAUCCUUCACAUCCUGGCAGAGGGAGCUCAAUGCUGUUUAUACUCUUACCCCUUUCACUGGGUUUGACUAUGAGGAUUUGUGAUGGAAUUGUUGGAGAACGCCCCUGGCUGAGCUGAGUUUCCAGCAGCAGGUAGAGCUAAAACCCAGUGUUAAUAAAAAUCAAUGAAGCAUCCUCACAAGGCAAAGAGUUUCCCUUUACAGCUCACAGCCUCCUCACGCU
This is a long non-coding RNA of Vidua chalybeata, 1204 nucleotides long. RefSeq lists it as uncharacterized. NCBI's taxonomy places the organism in Eukaryota, Metazoa, Chordata, Aves, Passeriformes, Viduidae. The record is from RefSeq and is a predicted model, not a curated record. The transcript is spliced from 3 exons.